ACCCAGCUGACGAGUCCCAAAUAGGACGAAACACACGUCCUGGAU
RNAcentral lists this non-coding RNA (45 nucleotides) under Schistosoma mansoni. The record is from RNAcentral. Lineage: Eukaryota; Metazoa; Platyhelminthes; Trematoda; Strigeidida; Schistosomatidae.